CCUCUACUUUGACCAGAGAAACUAUAGCAGUCUUAGACAUGACAAACCUGCCUCUGCCUACUAUUUCCGGUCCUCUUCCCUGUGCAGUGAGCCGAUGGGGACAUCCAAGAGUCAGAGCAGGGCAUCAUUGUAUGAUGGUGGAAUGUAUAACCCUUACGGUUCUCGAACU
This is a long non-coding RNA of Apodemus sylvaticus (European woodmouse), 169 nucleotides long. RefSeq lists it as uncharacterized. Lineage: Eukaryota; Metazoa; Chordata; Mammalia; Rodentia; Muridae. The record is from RefSeq and is a predicted model, not a curated record. The transcript is spliced from 3 exons.